GCCCGCAUAGCUCAGUCGGUAGAGCGCAUUCUUGGUAAGAAUGAGGUCAUCGGUUCAAGUCCGAUUGUGGGCU
This 73-nucleotide transfer RNA is filed under the name Caldilineaceae bacterium. Its description in RNAcentral is "tRNA-Thr". It matches the Rfam family "tRNA". Rfam says of the family: Transfer RNA (tRNA) molecules are approximately 80 nucleotides in length. Their secondary structure includes four short double-helical elements and three loops (D, anti-codon, and T loops). Lineage: Bacteria; Bacillati; Chloroflexota; Caldilineae; Caldilineales; Caldilineaceae. The record is from RNAcentral.